Long non-coding RNA from Zophobas morio, 204 nucleotides. RefSeq lists it as uncharacterized. Lineage: Eukaryota; Metazoa; Arthropoda; Insecta; Coleoptera; Tenebrionidae. The transcript is spliced from 3 exons. The record is from RefSeq and is a predicted model, not a curated record.
CCGAAGUCAGUUGCGACGCGGCGUUGCUGGAGGUUAGUGUUGCCGUCGUCUUCAGGCGUGUUUGUGGUGUGCUUUGUUGGACGUUGUUGGAUAAAAUUGCCGAGUUUGUGCCAGACGUUUCAUCAGGUGGCAGACGUUUCAACAAUUGAUCCCGUAAGACCAUGGCAGAGCAAUCGACUUACGUCUGAUGGAGGUCAGUAUUAG